UACGUCGGGACCAAGCGUUGUUCGGAUUUACUGGGCGUAAAGGGCGCGUAGGCGGCUUAACAAGUCACUGGUGAAAUCUCCGGGCUUAACUCGGAACGGCCAAGUGAAACUGUCAAGCUAGAGUGCAGAAGGGGCAAUCGGAAUUCUUGGUGUAGCGGUGAAAUGCGUAGAUAUCAAGAGGAACACCUGAGGUGAAGACGGGUUGCUGGGCUGACACUGACGCUGAGGCGCGAAAGCCAGGGGAGCAAACGGG
This 253-nucleotide ribosomal RNA is filed under the name uncultured bacterium. Its description in RNAcentral is "partial 16S ribosomal RNA". It matches the Rfam family "Bacterial small subunit ribosomal RNA", at positions 524 to 776 of the family's 1533-position model. The record is from RNAcentral.